UACGUAGGGUGCGAGCGUUGUCCGGAAUUAUUGGGCGUAAAGGGCGCGUAGGCGGCCUUCUAAGUCGAACGUGAAAUCCCUGGGCUCAACCCAGGAACUGCGUCCGAUACUGGGAGGCUUGAAUCCGGGAGAGGGAUGUGGAAUUCCAGGUGUAGCGGUGAAAUGCGUAGAUAUCUGGAGGAACACCGGUGGCGAAGGCGGCAUCCUGGACCGGUAUUGACGCUGAUGCGCGAAAGCCAGGGGAGCAAACGGG
RNAcentral lists this ribosomal RNA (253 nucleotides) under uncultured bacterium. RNAcentral's name for it is "partial 16S ribosomal RNA". It matches the Rfam family "Bacterial small subunit ribosomal RNA", at positions 524 to 776 of the family's 1533-position model. The record is from RNAcentral.